Molecule: RNase P RNA, 392 nt
Filed under: Muribaculaceae bacterium
Lineage: Bacteria; Pseudomonadati; Bacteroidota; Bacteroidia; Bacteroidales; Muribaculaceae
Description: RNase P RNA component class A
Rfam family: Bacterial RNase P class A
About the family: Ribonuclease P (RNase P) is a ubiquitous endoribonuclease, found in archaea, bacteria and eukarya as well as chloroplasts and mitochondria.
Source: RNAcentral
CAGGGCCGGGGUCUCGUCGCUUGUCCACGCAUGAGGGACAAGAGGAAAGUCCGGGCAACACAGAGCGCCAUACUUGUUAACGGCAAGCUGUCCGUGAGGGCAGAGUAGCGUGACAGAAAACAACCGCCGGCUUCAUCACGAGGUCGGUAAGGGUGAAAAGGUGAGGUAAGAGCUCACCGGGCGUUAUGGCAACAUAGCGCGCCGCACGUCUUAUGGGUUGCAAGGUCAAGUAUACCGGCAUUUAAGGGUGGCUCGCCCAUUGUCGGGGGGUAGACUGCUAAAGGACCGUGGUGACACGCGCCCGUAGAUAAAUGACGAGAAGUGACAGACAGGUCAGCUCACGCUCGAAACCGGCUUCACUACAUAACCCGGCUUAUACCCGGCCCUGCUUA